UAGUAUCCUACUAACGACCUUAUGGUUUGGAUUCAAUCAUUGGUUCUAUAAGAACCCCUUCAUUCAAAAUACCUUUUGAAGCAGUUUCUAAAACAAUAUAUCGUCAUAUAUUUCGUUUGUAUACUUUAUACAAACUUUGCUCCAACCUUGAGACCAUUGUAGUACAAUACUAACAAUACAUUCAUAUGAUUAGUACUUCAUCCAUUAUGAAGUUCCAUUUGUUGAAAUGGGUUAUUUUUCACUUUGGUUAAUAACCUAAGUGAAUGCAAGCUUCCAGAGUCCCACUCUGAUGUUUCUUUCUUAAAGGCAAUAAUACUCUAUCAGUUGCUUUGGUUCUGAUCCUGGGAUAUAGAGUCAUAUCUUAAAGUGACAAACUCUGUAGUUCUUCACCUUUGGAUAUCUACUUCACAAGUCCAUACAUGUGUCCCUUUUUGUGAUUUUGUGACACAUUCAUUAUAAGGGUUAUGAAAGUGUUUUUCUAUCACAUAGGAAAAUGCUUUCUUAAAUCUACAACAUUUGAGAUUUAAUUCCCAUAUAACAUUAUUGAGAUAGCCUUGCUAUAUCAAUAAGUCCAAUUUCAAGUCUAUACUUCAAAAUUGACCAUGUCAUGUUUUGUCAUUUCUCGAGUAACAUCUAUGUUUUAUCAAGUCUAUCGAAUAGACUUUAUUCACAUCUUGUUGCUCAAAUUAUGACAUCACUCCCAAUGGCCUUGUUGUAACUUAGCAUUCAUUCAAAAUUAACAAUUAUAUUUUCUUGAUUUGAAUGCAUAUUGCUCCAACUAACUUAAAUGAAUCAUACACAAAAGAAUUCCUUCUCAAGUAAUUCCAUUUGAAAUGUGUGACUUGUUUCAUUAAGUCUAUUCAUUUAAAUUAUAUGAUGUCAUACACCAUACUUCAAGUUUUAGUCAUACUAAGACCUUUAAUGUAGUCAUAUAAGAAUUAUCCAAGUCUUUAGUGGAAGCAUGGCUCCUACUAAGGAUAUAGAAACUCAACCAUUCCUUCUAGGUGGUUGAUAUAAUUCUUUAUCAAAAAACUACAUAGAGCAAUAUUGUUACAUGAGAUGUUGAAUUUGGAUUGUCUUGUUGUUAAAUCAUAUGUUGUGACUCAUUUUGAACUUAUUUCCCUUUUGUUUCAUCAACUUGUCCAUAUGCUUAGUUAUUUAGCUUGUUCUCAUAAAAGAGAAUGAUGGACAACUCCCAACAUAUAACUAUUUUAUGCUAGGUUGACGAAACCAACAUUCAAAGACUAUUCUUUAGAAUGUCACACAACAUAGAAUUUUAACGUUUGAAGAGCUUGAGUUCUUUAACAAUUAAAAUUACAAACUCUUAAUAAUAGUCAAGUACUAUUAUCCUUUAGACAACUAUAAACCAAUCACAUUCAAGUUUAUAUCCAUUUUCACACCUCCCACUAUUUCUCAUGACUUUAAUGAGAAAUCAUUUCAUACAUUCAAAAUGUAUAAAAGUGGAGUAUAUUGGAAGAAGACAUUGUGUAGUAGCUUUAAAACAUUUCAAGCUUAUUUGUUUCAAUCUUCACUAAGUUAAUGUCUUGUUAUUAAGUGACUAAAGUCUUUAAACAUUUUAUAGAUUUAGACACUUCUUUCUUGGUUUAAUCACUAACACAAUUGACAUUUUAAAACAAUUUUAAAAUUGCCCAAUUAGUUGUUCAAAAUUACUAAUUGAAUCAAGAGUGAUCUUGAUCAUUGUGUUUCAAGUGACAGCCAUAUAAGAAACGUUUUUCUUAUUACUUGUAUCAUUAUAAUGUGAUCUUCCUUUUCUUCAAGAAAGGAUUCUCUAGACUAUUAUCAAUUCAUAUAGAACUCAUAGGUAGACAAAUGGAACCAAAUCUAAAGAUUCAUUGUAUCCUUUUAUGUCCUACAUGUGAGAUCUAUCCAUAAUUGAUAAAUCUAAAGUUUGAUUAUCACAUUACAAUAAGUGAUAUAACUCUUGUAUCUCAUCUAGGAUACAACAAGACAAUUUUCAAUUCAUAA
Molecule: long non-coding RNA, 1986 nt
Filed under: Malus domestica (apple)
Lineage: Eukaryota; Viridiplantae; Streptophyta; Magnoliopsida; Rosales; Rosaceae
Description: long non-coding RNA (MDOM_LNC018065)
Source: RNAcentral